Molecule: long non-coding RNA, 1910 nt
Organism: Cyprinus carpio carpio
Lineage: Eukaryota; Metazoa; Chordata; Actinopteri; Cypriniformes; Cyprinidae
Source: Ensembl
CCCUUAUGCUUCCGGCAAAUAUGUCCUCAACAAAGAGACACCAGUACAGUAGCUUGAUGACAUCCAAAGAGCGUAGGAGGCAGUACAACAAAAUCUGGGCUAGAGUGUCAAGGGCACAAAAGAAGGCAGACAACAAAGAAACUAUCAGUUCAGUUGAGAUGGCUAGCAUUGGUGAAAGUGACAGCCUUAAUCUCAACCAGCACAUUGAGGAAGAAAAUCUUGACAUGCUUUCAGAUCCAGCCCUGUCAAGUUCUGAGAGCGAACAAGAUAUUACACCCACGCUCAGGAAAGAACUUUCCCAAUGGGCAUGUAUGUUUCAAGUUAAACAUAAUGCUGUGGAUGCUCUAUUAAACAUCCUUAAAAGACAUGGGCAUGAAGACCUUCCCCAUACUGCAAGGACGCUCUUUGGACACACAAACCAUUAUGAACAUACUACCAAAUAUGGUGUCGAAAGUAUACAGUUUAAUGUGGCAGAUCAGCUCUCAAAACAUCUGAGCAGGUAUCCUGCAGCUGUGACAGACCAUCUGCAGUCACUUGAUCUCUCCCUGAACAUCGAUGGGCUGCCAAUGUUCAAAAGCUCAAAUGUAUCCCUCUGGCCAGUUCUGUGUUCCAUAAACUUGUCUCCAGAAUGUAUUUUCCCCCUGUGCAUAUCCACUGCUGCUUCCAAACCCAAAACACCAAACUUUGCCUCUGACGCUGUUCAGCAAUUGGCAGAACUAAUCCAGGAUGGUCUUACCUGGGGAGGGAGACGCUUAAACAUCCAACUACGAUGUGUUACCUGCGAUGCUCCAGCUAAAGCUAUGGUAAAGUGUAUAAAGCAGUUUUCUGGAUACUAUGGGUGCGAUAAAUGCGACCAGAGGGGAUCUUGGGAAGGUCGGAUGACAUAUCCUGAAACAAAUAACCUUACCAUGAGAACAGAUCAAUCAUUCAGGGAAUGCUGGCAACCUGAACACCAUCAAGAAGAGGAGAUCUCACCCUUCUCUGUCCUCCCGAUUGACAUGAUCAAAUCAUUCCCCAUAGAUUAUAUGCACCAGAGCUGUCUCGGGGGUAAUGAAAAAAAGCUGCUGCUCUUGUGGACAAGAGGGAGAACAGAUUUCCGGAUGUCAUCAGGAGAUGUGACCAGUGUAAGCGAGAGGCUGGUGUCACUAAAGAAGUCCAUUCCAGAUUGCUUUGCCAGGAAGCCAAGGGGCUUGCAGGAAAUAGAUCGCUGGAAAGCAACAGAGUUCAGACAGUUUGCUAUCUACACUGGGAAGAUUGUUCUAAAGGGAAUUCUCCAAGACCAUCUCUAUGCACACUUCUUGAGCUUCAGCACGGCUCUUUGCAUUUUGGUGAAUCCUGAUCUCACAAAGUCACAAGGAGCUUAUGCAAACCAGCUGCUUAAGUAUUUUGUAGAGAGAGGACGGGAGCUGUAUGGAGUGACAUUUUUGGUAUACAAUGUCCAUUCCUUGCUGCACCUUGCAGAAGAUGCCCAAAACUUUGGCAGCCUUGACAGCUGCAGUGCUUUCAAGUUUGAGAGCUAUCUUCAUCAAAUGAAAAAAAUGGUCCGAUCUGGAAAAAAUGUUUUGGCACAAGUUGCAAAUCGUCUUGAGGAAACAUCUAAGUCCAAGACAGAAAUCAAGGAAAACUUGAUGUCAUUCAAGUGCCCAAACAAUGCCUUUGUGUUAGGCCCUGAACAAUUUUGCGAGGUGGUGUCAGAACAAGUGGACAACACAGUGUUAUGCAGGGUGUACACAAAUCUACAGCCAUAUCUGACAACACCGUGUGAUUCACGCCUCUAUGGAACAUACAUGGCUAACAUCAGGCAUUCUCAAAUGCUUUGCUUAGAAAGAAAGUCCCUUCAGAGGAGGGCAUUCACCGUGGAGGAAAACUACGGGAUCAAAAUUGUGGUGUCCAUUCUUCAUACCUUCUAG